CCCUUGCUAGUCUGAUGGUCAGAGUUCCUGGUUUUCAUCCAGACUGCCCAGGUUCAAUUCUUGGGCAGGGAA
Non-coding RNA from Bos taurus (domestic cattle), 72 nucleotides. NCBI's taxonomy places the organism in Eukaryota, Metazoa, Chordata, Mammalia, Artiodactyla, Bovidae. The record is from Rfam.